CUGCGCCGCCUCGCUUUCUCACUCUCUCCCUCGGCAGCCGUCGCGCUCCCCGUCGUCGUGGUGCGGCCCAUCCUUGACGUCUUCCGCUCCGAUGACGUUGACGCCACCGUUGCCUCCGGCUCGCUCGCCGCGCUCCAAAAGAUUGUGUCCCUCACGGGCCAAGCGCUCAGGGAGGUCAUCGACGUCGUCGCUAGCUGUCGGACCGAGGUCGGGGCUCAGCCCGCCCAAGGAGGACAUGCUCAUGAGGAUGUUGCAGGUGGUCGUCGCAUGCCUCCGUGUACCCGCCGCGGCCGCUCUCAAGGACCAAAAAUGUCGCGGUCGCCGCACAAGAGGAAGCACUACGACGGAGGUGCCGUGGCGGCCGAGACGUCCAAGGUAUGUGAAGUAGAAGAUCUUGGCGGUGUAGUUGAAGUCACCGCACAGCCUUGCCCAGAAGACGGACGCGACGCUGCGCGCGACGAUGAAGAGGAAGAAGACCGGGUGGAGCUCCCUGGGGAGCUGCGCGUUAGUGGGGAGCCUUUGGUACAACGUCACGAACAGCACCAGGUGGUGCACCAUCCCAACGACGAAGAAGAAGAUGGGCACCUCGCGAAGCCCCAUCUUAGCGCCCAGCACCACGCCCACGAAGUUGCCGACGACGGCGAGGUGGUUGGUCGGGGUGGCCACCUUGGACAGCUGGCGGUCGCCGCAAGACAUCCACUGGCCGUAGAUCUUGAGGUCCAGGAGGAAGAUGGGCACCAUGAUAAUAUACUAGUCGUGCCGGAGUUCGCCUUCCGGUGCGGCGGCAAGCCCGGCAAGAUGUGGGAGGAGGACGAGGAGGUGCAGAGCCCCCUCGCCUUCAAGAAGCCCCGCCUCUUCAUGACUGCGUGA
RNAcentral lists this unclassified non-coding RNA (870 nucleotides) under Zea mays. Its description in RNAcentral is "misc RNA Zm00001eb097810". Lineage: Eukaryota; Viridiplantae; Streptophyta; Magnoliopsida; Poales; Poaceae. The record is from RNAcentral.